Molecule: long non-coding RNA, 610 nt
Organism: Oncorhynchus tshawytscha (Chinook salmon)
Lineage: Eukaryota; Metazoa; Chordata; Actinopteri; Salmoniformes; Salmonidae
Source: Ensembl
GGGAUAGAGGAGGGAGAGGGGAUAGAGGAGGGAGAGGGGGAUAGAGGAGGGAGAGGGGAUAGGAUAUAGGAGGGAGAGGGGAUAGAGGGGGAGAGGGGAUAGGAUAUAGGAGGGAGAGGGGAUAGGAUAUAGGAGGGAGAGGGGAUAGAGAAGGGAGAGGGGAUAGAGGAGGGAGAGGGGAUAGGAUAGAGGAGGGAGAGGGGAUAGGAUAUAGGAGGGAGAGGGGAUAGAAGAGGGGAAGGGAUAGAGGAGGGAGUGAGGAUAGGAUAGAGGAGGGAGAGGGGAUAGGAUAGAGGAGGGAGAGGGGAUAGAGGAGGGAGAGGUGAUAGAGGAGGGAGAGGGGAUAGGAUAGAGGAGAGAGAUGGGAUAGGAUAGAAGAGGGGAUGGGAUAGAGGAGGGAGUGAGGAUAGGAUAGAGGAGGGAGAGGGGAUGGGAUAGAGGAGGGAGUGAGGAUAGGAUAGAGGAGGGGAUGGGAUAGAGGAGGGAGUGAGGAUAGGAUAGAGGAGGGAGAGGGGAUAGAGGAGGGAGAGGGGAUAGGAUAGAGGAGGGAGAGGUGAUAGAGGAGGGAGAGGGGAUAGAGGAGUGAGAGGUGAUAGAGGAGGGAGUGAGG